UUCCCUCUGAGGUUAUCCUUCCUAAUCCACUCCUAACAACUUUUUUUGGGGACCAAUCAUAACACUCACUCAUUAAAGAGGAUUUCCUCUAUCUUCCAACGAGAAAAACAACAAGCAUAAUAUCCCAUUCUUCUCAAAAAAGAAGACACUUUCACUUUUCGUUUUUGGAUCAUCUUCUCUACCCCAUAAAAACGUGACCCACACCCUCAUCUCCCUCCGAUCCAUUCACCGCUCCGCACCACCGUUACCUUUCUCUUCCUUCAAAAAACCCUCCUACGGCCAUCACAACACGACCUCCGUCCUUAGCUUCCAUCACCGUUUUCCUUUACCUCUUUAUCACUACCUUCGUCCAAAUGCCGCCGACCCCCUCACUCCUCCCGUGCCGGCAAAAAAAACCACACACGGUUCACCCCUCCGCCAUUUGAAGCUUCUCCGAACUGGAUUUAUAAACCUCCGCUUCCAUCGUUUCUCCUUCGCCUUUAGCCUUUGAACAUCAUUUACCCAUACAUUCACUUUCAGUGCCCUGUUUCUGAUUCCAUCCAUACAAUCAAAGUGUCGAAACAACCUUUUAGUUUCUCGCCAAGAUCUCUGAAUACUCACCUUCAACAGAAAGAGUGUUCUUCUCAUGCUUCGUAUUAUAUUCAUAUGAUGUGAACAUUUGUGAUGCCACUUUGAAGAUCGGUGGAUCUAACAGUUCUAUUUAUAACAAGGAAAAUUUUCCUCACGGUGCAAUAGAUAGUAAGGGAAGCUCCGUUUUUCACUUGUUUCUCACCAUCAUGACUACACCAUACGAAAUCAUCAGCUCACCUCACUCUUCUCCACACCAACAUGAAGCUAACAACCUAAACCACAAUGUGACUUAACCUGAUUCCAGUAGCAAUCGCAUCGGCAAUACGUUGAUGUGUGUUAUAGUUUUGGUUAACUCUGAUUAACUCGUGACUAUUCGAUAAUUUCCAGCCAUUGUUCCACAACGGUCGUUUGGAUCCAAAUGUUGUACUUACAAAGGUUUUAAUUUGACAAGUUAUUUUGCUGCCAUUAUAUGGAUCUUUAUUAUAUGAUACAUGUUGUAAUAUGAUUAGUAUUUUAGUGUGUGCAAGGACUGUCAUUAUCUUGAGUUUAA
This is a long non-coding RNA of Lathyrus oleraceus (garden pea), 1120 nucleotides long. RefSeq lists it as uncharacterized. The transcript has 2 exons. The record is from RefSeq and is a predicted model, not a curated record. NCBI's taxonomy places the organism in Eukaryota, Viridiplantae, Streptophyta, Magnoliopsida, Fabales, Fabaceae.